AACGAACGCUGGCGGCAGGCUUAACACAUGCAAGUCGAACGCACCUUUCGGGGUGAGUGGCAGACGGGUGAGUAACGCGUGGGAAUCUACCCUUCUCUACGGGAUAGCUCCGGGAAACUGGAAUUAAUACCGUAUACGUCCUGAGGGAGAAAGAUUUAUCGGGGAAGGAUGAGCCCGCGUUGGAUUAGCUCGUUGGUGGGGUAAAGGCCUACCAAGGCGACGAUCCAUAGCUGGUCUAAGAGGAUGAUCAGCCACAUUGGGACUGAGACACGGCCCAAACUCCUACGGGAGGCAGCAGUGGGGAAUAUUGGACAAUGGGCGCAAGCCUGAUCCAGCCAUGCCGCGUGAGUGAUGAAGGCCCUAGGGUUGUAAAGCUCUUUCAGUGGGGACGAUAAUGACGGUACCCACAGAAGAAGCCCCGGCUAACUUCGUG
RNAcentral lists this ribosomal RNA (433 nucleotides) under uncultured bacterium. RNAcentral's name for it is "partial 16S ribosomal RNA". It matches the Rfam family "Bacterial small subunit ribosomal RNA", at positions 29 to 507 of the family's 1533-position model. The record is from RNAcentral.